Molecule: ribosomal RNA, 301 nt
Filed under: uncultured bacterium
Lineage: Bacteria
Description: partial 16S ribosomal RNA
Rfam family: Bacterial small subunit ribosomal RNA
Source: RNAcentral
CAGUAGCCGCGGGAAUACGUAGGGUGCGAGCGUUAAUCGGAAUUACUGGGCGUAAGGCGUGCGCAGGCGGUUUUGUAAGACAGGCGUGAAAUCCCCGGGCUCAACCUGGGAAUGGCGCUUGUGACUGCAAAGCUAGAGUGCGGCAGAGGGGGAUGGAAUUCCGCGUGUAGCAGUGAAAUGCGUAGAUAUGCGGAGGAACACCGAUGGCGAAGGCAAUCCCCUGGGCCUGCACUGACGCUCAUGCACGAAAGCGUGGGGAGCAAACAGGAUUAGAUACCCCAGUAGUCCCUGUCUCUUAUAC